GGAUAAUCUACCUAUUGGUACGGGACAACAGUUGGAAACGACUGCUAAUACCGUAUAAGCUGGAUUCGGGAAAGGGGGCCUCUUCUUGAAAGCUCUCGCCAGUAGAUGAGUCCGCGUUUCAUUAGCUAGACGGCGGGGUAACGGCCUACCGUGGCAACGAUGAAUAGGAGGCCUGAGAGGGUGGCCUGCCACACUGGGACUGGAACACGGCCCAUACUCCUACGGGAGGCAGCAGUGGGGAAUAUUGCGCACUGGACGAGAGUCUGACGCAGCGACGCCGCGUGGAGGAUGAAGGUUUUCGGAUCGUAAUCUCCUGUCAAGAAGGAAGAAGCUAUUUUAAUUUUACUCUUAGUAAUUGACGGUACCUCUUAAGGAAGCCCGGCUAAUUCAGUGCCAGCAGUCGCGGUAAUACUGAAGGUGCAUGCG
This 426-nucleotide ribosomal RNA is filed under the name Desulfovibrio sp. AU753. RNAcentral describes it as "bacterial SSU rRNA". It matches the Rfam family "Bacterial small subunit ribosomal RNA", at positions 119 to 540 of the family's 1533-position model. The record is from RNAcentral. Lineage: Bacteria; Pseudomonadati; Thermodesulfobacteriota; Desulfovibrionia; Desulfovibrionales; Desulfovibrionaceae.